Molecule: small nucleolar RNA, 136 nt
Organism: Lemur catta (Ring-tailed lemur)
Lineage: Eukaryota; Metazoa; Chordata; Mammalia; Primates; Lemuridae
Source: RefSeq, a predicted model, not a curated record
GCACUGUCCCUGAACCUCUGUGUGUCUGGCUGUGACCUCGGGGAUCUAGUGGCAGUGCCAGAGAAGACCCAGCUUGUCGAGGUCUGGGGCUGCUCAGAAGCCACCUAAGUGAUCCCUUUAGCAGCAAGCGACAUUU